RNAcentral lists this ribosomal RNA (253 nucleotides) under uncultured bacterium. RNAcentral describes it as "partial 16S ribosomal RNA". It matches the Rfam family "Bacterial small subunit ribosomal RNA", at positions 524 to 776 of the family's 1533-position model. The record is from RNAcentral.
UACGUAGGGGGCAAGCGUUGUCCGGAAUCAUUGGGCGUAAAGCGCGUGUAGGCGGCCCGAUAAGUCCGCUGUGAAAGUCCAGGGCUCAACCCUGGGAUGCGGGUGGAUACUGCCGAGCUCGAGUCCGGAAGAGGCGAGUGGAAUUCCUGGUGUAGCGGUGAAAUGCGCAGAUAUCAGGAGGAACACCAAUGGCGAAGGCAGCUCGCUGGGACGUGACUGACGCUGAGAUGCGAAAGCGUGGGGAGCAAACAGG